GGCGAACGCUGGCGGCGGGCUUAACACAUGCAAGUCGAACGGCAAGGCCCUGCUUGCGUGGGGUGCUCGAGUGGCGAUCGGGUGAGUAACACGUGAGUAACCUGCCCUUGACUUUGGGAUAACUUCAGGAAACUGGGGCUAAUCCCGGAUAGGAGCCCCUGCUGCAUGGUGGGGGGUGGAACGUUUCGGCGGGUGGGGAUGGACUCGCGGCUUAUCAGCUUGUUGGUGGGGUAGUGGCUUACCAAGGCUUUGACGGGUAGCCGGCCUGAGAGGGUGACCGGCGACAUUGGGACUGAGAGACGGAGCAGACGGCUACAGGGGGCAGCAGUGGGAAAUAUUGCCCAGUGGGCGGGAGCCGGAUGCAGAGACGCCGCGUGCGGGAUGACGGCCUUCGGGUUGUAAACCGCUUUCGCCUGUGACGAAGCGGGAGUGACGGUAAUGGGAGAAGAAGCACCGGCUAACUACGUG
This 468-nucleotide ribosomal RNA is filed under the name uncultured bacterium. Its description in RNAcentral is "partial 16S ribosomal RNA". It matches the Rfam family "Bacterial small subunit ribosomal RNA", at positions 28 to 507 of the family's 1533-position model. The record is from RNAcentral.